AAAAGGGUUUCAAGAGUUCCAGAAAGGGGACAGCACAGUGCCCAAGUUUGUCCAGGCUUGAGGGGGGAUUUGAGACUUCAGCUGAACUCAGAAGAUUGUCUCAGCAUGUGGACAGGGACACUGAGGAACUCAGACCACCGUCUCGGCAUGGGGACAGGGAAGCAGAGUUUGAAAUGUGGAAGCAGGUAAAAUCGCCAGCAGCAAGUUAGAGGUUGCAAGGCCUUCCUCCCCACAAAGGGUUAAGUGGGGGCCGGUGAUGUAAGUGCUGAUCCCACCGGUGUUUGAACAGGAAAAGAACUCGGGCGCUGUUUUUCUUCUCGGAAAGCCAAUCCCAGCGGAGUCGCUGGGGUUUUUAAAACCAAAUGUCUUUACAGCCUGAAAUGAAUAACCAUGACCUCAGCCUUCACACACGCAGCCCCUGCUGCUAUACAUUUAGCUUCGGCCGCUCUCCG
This 452-nucleotide long non-coding RNA is filed under the name Equus caballus (horse). RNAcentral's name for it is "lncRNA (ENSECAG00000046811.1)". The record is from RNAcentral. Lineage: Eukaryota; Metazoa; Chordata; Mammalia; Perissodactyla; Equidae.